This 720-nucleotide ribosomal RNA is filed under the name Salmonella enterica. RNAcentral describes it as "partial 23S ribosomal RNA". It matches the Rfam family "Bacterial large subunit ribosomal RNA", at positions 1 to 658 of the family's 2925-position model. The record is from RNAcentral. Lineage: Bacteria; Pseudomonadati; Pseudomonadota; Gammaproteobacteria; Enterobacterales; Enterobacteriaceae.
GGUUAAGCGACUAAGCGUACACGGUGGAUGCCCUGGCAGUCAGAGGCGAUGAAGGGCGUGCUAAUCUGCGAUAAGCGCCGGUAAGGUGAUAUGAACCGUUAUAACCGGCGAUACCCGAAUGGGGAAACCCAGUGUGACUCGUCACACUAUCAUUAACUGAAUCCAUAGGUUAAUGAGGCGAACCGGGGGAACUGAAACAUCUAAGUACCCCGAGGAAAAGAAAUCAACCGAGAUUCCCCCAGUAGCGGCGAGCGAACGGGGAGGAGCCCAGAGCCAGAAUCAGCAUGUGUGUUAGUGGAAGCGUCUGGAAAGGCGCGCGAUACAGGGUGACAGCCCCGUACACAAAAGCGCAUGUGCUGUGAGCUCGAUGAGUAGGGCGGGACACGUGGUAUCCUGUCUGAAUAUGGGGGGACCAUCCUCCAAGGCUAAAUACUCCUGACUGACCGAUAGUGAACCAGUACCGUGAGGGAAAGGCGAAAAGAACCCCGGCGAGGGGAGUGAAAAAGAACCUGAAACCGUGUACGUACAAGCAGUGGGAGCCCCACCACCAAAGCAUUCUCUGGUGUUGAAGGCCCUGCAAAGCAGUAUCGCGGUGGCGGAGCGUCGUUUGCGACGCCCAACACACAAAACAAGCGGUGAGUGCUUUGGGGUGGGGUGACUGCGUACCUUUUGUAUAAUGGGUCAGCGACUUAUAUUCUGUAGCAAGGUUAACCGUAUAGG